ACAAGCCAGAGCUGCCUCCCGCCUUACUUGUUACACAGGACAGAGAUAAAUUUUCCUUCAGAUUUGCCUUCACUAAUACUCACACCCUUGUGUCCUACUGUCCAAAGAAAAGGAAAAAUGUACUCCUGAUGACAACUCUGCACAGGCAUGCAGCUGUGCGCACCAGGGAGGACAAAAAACCCAAUACCAUCCUGGAUUAGAACAGGAACAAAGGCAGAGUCGACAACCUUGAUAAGUUACUGGCACAUACUCUUUUCAGAGGAAGACAGCACAUUGGCCGAUGAUGUUAUUUUUCAACAUAUUAGAUGUGUCAUCUUACAACGCAUUUGUGGUGUGGAUGGAGGUGAAUCCAGGAUGGAAGCAGGGGAAAUUUUUCAAGAGGAGGCUAUUUCUGGAGGAGUUGGGGAAAACCAUGCGGGCAUCUCACAUUCAACAACGCCAGCACCUUCCCCGAAUGCCAGCCUCAGCCGCAUUGGUAACAUAGUUCCAGGAGUAAGAAACAAGAUCACUUGCUACAAGAAAGAGGUGAUAAGAGGAAGAGGUGCAGUCUGUGUGCACCAAGAGAUGUCAAAACAAGCAUAACAUGCCAUAAAUGCAAUGCAUAUUUUUGCAAGAGACACGCAACAACCUGCGCAUAUUGUCCAACAUGUGCAUGAGCAAAAAAACACCACUGAAGUUUGAGUCAACACAAUCCACCACAUUUAAAGACUGAUUUUGUUAUCGGUUGACAGUUUUUUUCUGUUAUCAGGCAAAAACACAUCUAAUAGACUGGUUAACAUGUUAUUGUUCUUGUAAGUUAUUUGUUAAUGUAUGAAGACAUUGAUCUUGGAAUAUUGUGAAAUUGUCAAGUGUAGUUUUGGAAUAAUUUCCUUUGUAUACAAUUAAAAUAUUCAUGGUCCCUUUUGACCGGGAACACAA
This is a non-coding RNA of Electrophorus electricus (electric eel), 918 nucleotides long. The record is from RefSeq and is a predicted model, not a curated record. Lineage: Eukaryota; Metazoa; Chordata; Actinopteri; Gymnotiformes; Gymnotidae.